GAACACCAGUGGCGAAGGCGACUCUCUGGACUGCAACUGACGCUGAGGCACGAAAGCGUGGGUAGCGAACAGGAUUAGAUACCCUGGUAGUCCACGCCGUAAACGAUGAGUGCUAGGUGUUGGUGGGGACACCCAUCAGUGCCGCAGCUAACGCAUUAAGCACUCCGCCUGGGGAGUACGGUCGCAAGACUGAAACUCAAAGGAAUUGACGGGGACCCGCACAAGCAGCGGAGCAUGUGGUUUAAUUCGACGCAACGCGAAGAACCUUACCAGGGCUUGACAUCCCUCUGACNGANUUAGAGAUAGUCCUUUCUCUUCGGAGACAGAGGAGACAGGUGGUGCAUGGUUGUCGUCAGCUCGUGUCGUGAGAUGUUGGGUUAAGUCCCGCAACGAGCGCAACCCUUAUCNUUAGUUGCCANCAUUAAGNUGGGCACUCUAGNGAGACUGCCGGUGACAAACCGGAGGAAGGUGGGAUGACGUCAAAUCAUCAUGCCCCUUAUGUCUUGGGCUACACACGUGCUACAAUGGUCGGUACAACGGGAAGCNAGACNGCGANGUGGAGCNAAUCCCAAUAAACCGAUCCCAGUUCGGAUUGUAGGCUGCAACUCGCCUACAUGAAGUCG
This 623-nucleotide ribosomal RNA is filed under the name uncultured bacterium. Its description in RNAcentral is "bacterial SSU rRNA". It matches the Rfam family "Bacterial small subunit ribosomal RNA", at positions 704 to 1328 of the family's 1533-position model. The record is from RNAcentral.